UCGCUAGCCAGGAGUGACAGAGGUUUCAGGCUAGAUUUCCUUCACAUUCCUGGAGGCUCUUAUUAAUAUUUUGCAAGAGCAGAUCAGCACCAGCGCGCAGGAGAGCCGGGCGGCCGCACGGAGCCUCCUCUCUGCUGUUCCCCGUCCUGCUCCGGAGCAGCGCCGUGCUGGAGGAGCAGCCAGGUCAAUCUGACCAGAGAAGAGCACGGAUGAUGCUGGGGAGAUGCGCCCUGGGUCACAGCGGGUUUCUGCCCCAGGACUGGGUGCUUGCUGCCACCCCGCGUUGUCCCUGCUGCCACCCACGUGUGCAGGUCCCCAAACCCUCGGCAGGAGCUUUCCCACUCGGCCGAGGCACCGACGACGGAGCUAAGUUGGAAAAAUGGAGUAGGCUCAGCUGGGCUGGGACUUGCCUUCUGCUCCCUCGCUCCCUGCCACCAGGGCAGUCUGUCCCCACCGCCGCAGCCCUGACGGGGGUCCAGGCUUUGCGGGGGGGGGGCCGCCAGCUCCCCAUCGGGCAGGACCCCAUAUCCUGGCCCCGUUGGCACGAGGGGACGGAGCCGGGAGCGAGCACGGGCUGUGCCGGCCGAGCCAGCAUCUGGGCACCGCGUCCAAGGAAGCAGAGAAAGUCGUCUUUCUCCUUCAGCUCUUUUCAGUAAACAGAGGUCAGCCUUG
Long non-coding RNA from Cygnus olor (mute swan), 672 nucleotides. RefSeq lists it as uncharacterized. NCBI's taxonomy places the organism in Eukaryota, Metazoa, Chordata, Aves, Anseriformes, Anatidae. The transcript has 2 exons. The record is from RefSeq and is a predicted model, not a curated record.